RNAcentral lists this ribosomal RNA (253 nucleotides) under uncultured bacterium. RNAcentral's name for it is "partial 16S ribosomal RNA". It matches the Rfam family "Bacterial small subunit ribosomal RNA", at positions 524 to 776 of the family's 1533-position model. The record is from RNAcentral.
UACGGAGGGGGCUAGCGUUGUUCGGAAUUACUGGGCGUAAAGCGCGCGUAGGCGGUUUGUUAAGUUGGGCGUGAAAUCCCGGGGCUCAACCCCGGAACUGCGCUCGAAACUGGCAGGCUAGAGUUCGGGAGAGGGUGGUGGAAUUUCCAGUGUAGAGGUGAAAUUCGUAGAUAUUGGAAAGAACACCGGUGGCGAAGGCGACCACCUGGACCGAGACUGACGCGGAGGUGCGAAAGCGUGGGGAGCAAACAGG